RNAcentral lists this ribosomal RNA (251 nucleotides) under uncultured prokaryote. RNAcentral describes it as "partial 16S rRNA". It matches the Rfam family "Bacterial small subunit ribosomal RNA", at positions 525 to 775 of the family's 1533-position model. The record is from RNAcentral.
ACGUAGGGUGCGAGCGUUAAUCGGAAUUACUGGGCGUAAAGCGUGCGCAGGCGGUUUGGUAAGUCAGAUGUGAAAUCCCCGGGCUCAACCUGGGAACUGCAUUUGAGACUGCCAGGCUGGAGUUUGGCAGAGGGGGGUGGAAUUCCACGUGUAGCAGUGAAAUGCGUAGAGAUGUGGAGGAACACCGAUGGCGAAGGCAGCCCCCUGGGCCAAUACUGACGCUCAUGCACGAAAGCGUGGGGAGCAAACAG